This 1314-nucleotide ribosomal RNA is filed under the name Carabus arvensis. RNAcentral's name for it is "16S ribosomal RNA". The stretch from base 1074 to 1233 matches the Rfam family "Archaeal large subunit ribosomal RNA", at positions 2542 to 2701 of the family's 2987-position model. The record is from RNAcentral. Lineage: Eukaryota; Metazoa; Arthropoda; Insecta; Coleoptera; Carabidae.
UUUACUUUUAGUUUUAUGUUUAAUUUUUAUUUAAUAAAAAUAAUUUUAAUAAUUAAUAUUUUUAGUAAAGUUUAUUGAAAAAAUUAAUUUAGUUAUAGUUAAAUUGUAUUGUAAAAGGUUAUUGAAAUAAAAUUUUAUUUUAAAAAAGUAUAAUUUAAUUUUAGUACCUUGUGUAUCAGGGUUUAUUAAAUAAAAAUUAUAAAUUUUAAUUUUCUCGAAUUUAAGAGAGCUAAUAAAUUAUUUUUUUUAUUGUAAAAAAAAUAUUUAUCAUAAUUUAUUAGUAAUGAGAUGUUAUUCGUUCUUAAAUAUAUCUAGUUUAUUUAGAAAUGAAUUUAAUUCAGAUAUUAUUACUUUAAUAAUUUAAUUUUUUAAAUUAUUAGAUUUAUUAAUAUUAAUAAUUAAAGGGAUUAGCUUUUAAUUAAAAAUUUAAAAAUUAAUAAAAUAUUUUAAAAAAUGUAGAUUUAGAAAUAGUCAUCAAUAAUAAUUUGUUAUAAUUAAUUUAUUUAAAAAUAUUAUUUUAUAUAGUUUUAAAUUUUUUAUAAAUAAUUAAUUUUUAAUUUUAAAAAUUUAGUUAUAAUGGUAGAAUUAGUAUAUAUUUAAUUUAUUUAAAUAAUAAUUUUUAAAAGAUUAUUUAAAGGAAUUCGGCAAAAAUUUUACUCGCCUGUUUAACAAAAACAUGUCCUUUUGAAUUUUUAUUUAAGGUCUAGUCUGCCCACUGAAUUUAUAUUUUAAAUGGCCGCAGUAUUUUGACUGUGCAAAGGUAGCAUAAUCAUUAGUUUUUUAAUUAAAAGCUUGUAUGAAAGGCUGGACGAGGUAGAAUCUGUCUCUAUUUAAAUUAUAAUAGAAUUUAACUUUUAAGUUAAAAGGCUUAAAUAUUAUUAAAAGACGAGAAGACCCUAUAGAUCUUUAUAAUUUAUUGGAUAAAAUUAAUUUAGAAGUAUUUAUGUUUUAUUUAGAUAAAUUAUUUUAUUGGGGUAAUAAAAAGAUUGAAUUAAUUCUUUUUUAUAAUAAACAUUUAUUUAUGAAUAUUAAAUGAUCCAGUUUUAUUGAUUAUAAGAUUAAGUUACCUUAGGGAUAACAGCGUAAUUUUUUUAGAGAGUUCAUAUCGAUAAAAAAGUUUGCGACCUCGAUGUUGGAUUAAAGAUUAUUUUAGGUGUAGAAGCUUAAUAAUUUUGGUCUGUUCGACCAUUAAAUCUUUACAUGAUCUGAGUUCAGACCGGUGUAAGCCAGGUCGGUUUCUAUCUUUAAUAAUAUAAAAUAUUUUAGUACGAAAGGACCAAAUAUUUGAUAUAUUUAUAUUUAUUUUAUUGAAUU